CUGCAUUUGGGCUCUGGGCAUCCACCUGGUUCCCAUCUACCACCAGCUCAAGGCGGUUUUUGAUCUUCUUGGCAGUGACUUUAUGCCAUCGUCCAUCGCACAUAUGGCCUGGGCUCCCAGCAUCGUAGACCGCAGUGAAUCGGCCGGCGCCAUUAUCCACAUGGAACAUAAGCUGGAAAGGAAUCUGGCGCACAGUGGAGCUUUAAUCAUUGGAUAACCAAAUGAAUGAGCACACAAUAGGACUGACUGAAUCAAGGGCUCUCAAAACCAGGUCUCGUGUGGCAAGAUACAUCAGGAGAGCAUUUGAUGAAAAUGUCCGGAACUUGAACAUGACUGUGGAGAUGUUGGGGUACCACCGGAUGGGACGGCUCACCAACGCAUACCCUUCUCCAUCAAACUGAAUAGUCCCUUCACUGUCUUCCACUUGCGGGCUGAAAAGAGACAUUUCACACUAGUUAGACCUCUUCAGUUUGUCAUCCUUCAAUGAACCAUAUUAUUUCCUAGGACUGGAUGAUAAGCUGUUGUGGGACACAAACUAUCUCAAACGUGGCAUGGAUCUCUCUCACCCCCACCUCCACAGGCCAGUAUUAGAACCACAACCUCUUACCUGGACUUUCAUGGGCUGAAUCUAGUACAUCACUUCCCAUCUA
This 650-nucleotide long non-coding RNA is filed under the name Rattus norvegicus (Norway rat). RNAcentral describes it as "long non-coding RNA NONRATT001993". The record is from RNAcentral. Lineage: Eukaryota; Metazoa; Chordata; Mammalia; Rodentia; Muridae.